Molecule: long non-coding RNA, 491 nt
Filed under: Androctonus crassicauda
Lineage: Eukaryota; Metazoa; Arthropoda; Arachnida; Scorpiones; Buthidae
Source: RNAcentral
AUUUACUUGAACCUAGGCAAUAUCUUAAUAAACUUAACAAGCACAAAACUACAAGAACCAAAUACAAAAACUAUGCUUUCUGUAUAUCAGAUAAUUUCUCAUAUACUCACUCUUGUGAAUUGCAUUGACUAAAUCAUAGAAUUUAUCAUGAGAUUGCCAUUGUAAGUCAAGAACUACAUGUAUUUUCAGGCAUUUGACCCCAUUAUUUGACCAGAUUAUCCACUAGGGACAAUAGACAGAUGACUAGGGGAGGCUCCUUUGUUCUCAAACAUCUAGCAGAGCAAAGGAGCAGUCAUGUCUGUUGUGGGAUGAUCAUGCUCUCUGGACACACUGAAUCCAUAACUGGAACAGAUUUUUCUGGAAGAAUAUCAUUAAUCAUAUUACCACUUUUCUUCCUCUUUAGAUUUCAAGUAUCAACAGAGGUAUUAGAAACAGAUCUAACAAUUCUAGCUUUUUAUUAAUCUAUCUGCAAGUCAUUUUUAUAAGAUCUA